Molecule: long non-coding RNA, 11754 nt
Filed under: Olea europaea (common olive)
Lineage: Eukaryota; Viridiplantae; Streptophyta; Magnoliopsida; Lamiales; Oleaceae
Description: long non-coding RNA (OEUR_LNC003607)
Source: RNAcentral
AGAUAAAAUUGAUACUAUUUUAAAUGAAAAGACUGUGUUAACUAAUGAUGGAGCGGUUCAACGCUUCCUUGUUCAUUGGGUUGAUUGACAAGAUUCUGACGGUAUAUGGAUCUCCAGAGAAAAACUACAGCAAUUGGACCCAAAUUUAUUGGAGCUUUAAUGAAGUCAGCAAGAUCUUCCUCGACCAAGAUCGCCUCACAUCCACUCAGGGGAAGAUAGUGAGGACACUAGAUUCAGACCUCCAUUGACACAUUUCUACGGACAUAAAAAAAAAUUGCCCAACCACUCAGCUUAUGGUUGGGAGAUUGACUACAGCUUCUCAUGAUCUAUCUAUGCGACAUUGUCGAGUUUUUUCUCCCACCCCAUGAGAGUUGAUUAGGACAUCCGUGUUACUUAUUUUCUAGCUGGACUUUAUUUAUUUAUGUUUUAAAUUUUUAUUAGGCUUGUAUAAAAGGUUUGGCCCAAACCCGAUCUCUUUAGGGUUUUGUUUCGCUAUUUAAGUUUAGUUGUCGUGGAAUUAAAAUAGUUGAUGAAUGAAUAAAAUUAUUUUGGUGGCUUGUGGCAAUUUUCUACCUUUUCUCCAUCUUUCUUCUAUUGGUUCUUCUGUUGAUUCUUCUUUUACCCCCGUUCUUCCCUUAAUUUUCUCUUCUCCAUAGAUCUGUUCUCGUUUUUAAUUAAGUGUUCCAAUUGGUGCUGCAUCAGGUAUAAGUAUAAAACUUGAAAUGCGUCUCUAAAUUCGCAUCUACUGGGAUUUCUACACAAAUCCUUUGAACAUUAAGGUUUUCCGAAUAACCUCCAAGUUUCUCUUCAUGAGGGACUCCCCUUUAUAUGAACAAGGGACACAAAAAACUUUGAUACUAACUAAGUCCUGGAUCCAACGGUGCGACUUCAUGCACCAGUCAAGUAGAAUCCUCAUCAGAACCCUCAUCCAAGCACCACAAAUUGAAACAGAAUCAUUUCCUCUCUGAAUCUAUUGCCAAAAUCAAGUGGUUAACGGAUUUAUAAGAGACAAAUACAAUGCAGCUUUUGUUACAAAAGUUCUUUGAAAGUAUAACUUGUUACAUCCACCUGAAGCUUUUUUCCACCAGUUCUGUUAUGGACCAUUUCAAGUUGCCAGAGCAGCAAUUAACAUACUUGGUUGACAUACCAAUACCAUCCUUCAAAAAUACCCUCUGAAAUCAACACUUAUGCGAACUCCUCAUGUGAUAAAACUUUCAAGCCUUAAUGAAUAUAUUAUGAUUUCCUCAAUCCUGCCUCCACCAACAAUAAUGACAAUAUAAUUAGGUUGACUUAGCUUUGAAAGAAUUCCACGAUGUGAAUUCUAUGCCUGUAAUCUUCACCAUUAAAAUAUUUUUCAAAUUUUCAUACAACCUUCAUCUUUCUUUCUCCAGAUAAGUAAUAAAUUUUCCAACUGGUUGUCAUAAGCCCUGCUGUAGUUGGAGGAAAAAGGUUGAUGCAUCCUCGCACCUUUUAGUUGAAUAUUCCCAAAAUACAAUUGGAAAGGAACCCUCCCAAAUGCAUUUCAGUCUAAAGUUUUGAAAAUCUAUUGGGUGGAAGUUAAUGGAGACAUUUAUGUAUAUUUAAAACAUUAGUUCCUUCAAGCAUCAUUUCCCUCAUGAUAGUAUAGCAACAUAAAAAACAGUUCACGGUCUAGCCAGGAGACUUUGAGAAUGACUACUUUGAAGGUAAAUUAACUAAGAACUUUAAAGGGCCAAGGAAAAGUAAUGUAGAUAACACUACCUGUAGGUCCCGUAUAGAAUGCAAGCUGUCUGCAACAGAAUGGUAUGCACAGGAAUAUUAGUUCAUUUCAAAGAGAAAAGAAGAUGAAAAAUGUCAUGCAAAAGCCUAAACUCUACUUCAGAACACUUACUCAGUCGCAUAACCCAGACGCUCCGCCAAGGGCGUAAUACCCACUAAGCUGAAGAAGAAGACAAACCCCUGAAACAGGCAAUGUCCAAAAGUUACACAUACUGAUGUUAAGAGGGAAUUUAUCAAAAAAAUGCAGCAUAACCCUUUUCCUAAUUAAUUGGACAGAGAUAUAAAAUUUCUGGGGGAAUUUUAUAGCUCUUACAUGUUUCUUGCUAAGAUAGUGCAGCGUUAUUGCAAUCGGCCCAAAUGGAAGCAAAACGUUUAUCUUUGCUUUGAAUAAAACAACAUAAAUACUCCUAAACAGACUGAUCCGCUGUAUCUUUCUAAGGACAGAUGAAGAGGAAACUUUCGAGGGAGAAAUGACAUGAUUUGCCUCAAAAUUGAAAGAUUGCCUUUUGUUUGUUGGCUGAGUUGAGUUCAAUGGUGUCUCCUCAUCAGAUUCAAGGUCGACCUUUUCCUCGAUAGAUACCAUAUCGUCUAACCCAGGCAAUUUCCCUGAUAAAUGGAAGAUAGUACAACACGUUUAUAUACAAUUUCAUCUAAUUUAUUAUGCAGACAAAUAGAUCCACUCACCUCAAUGUAAUGACAUACAAUGCUUGACCAUAGUAUCACUGCAACUGCAAAGGAAGAUUGAAAUCAGCACAUCAGACAACAAAGAGUCAACCUUAAAACUAAUUUAUGAUCUUAAAAGUGCAUAAAGACCCUAAGGGAAAACAGGAACGCUAAGAUUCAUACUAGAACUAAUGGAAAAUUUUACCAGCAUUAAGAUUUGAAAAAUGACCAUAAUGUCAAAAUUGAAGGUGAUGAAAAGUGUGAUGUCUUUCCCAAUCAAGUCCAACAUAGUCAAUAAAGAACUAAUAAUAUAACAAGAAAAUGUCCCAGAUCAAUUCAAAAAAAAACUAAAACUGUAGAAAAUUCAUAUCAAACCUGAAAACAAACAUUUAAUGACUGCUAUUAAAGAAGCAUAAUAUGCAAACGAAAACCCAGAUCAAAGAUUCUUUAAAACAGAAUUCAGAGGAGCCAAGACCCAAGAAAAAAACAAAAAAGAGAAGCAGUUGAUAUAUUGAAAGUUCUACCUUUCUGAUGUCAACAAAGAUUCUUGCUUUUAACUGAUCCAAAAUUUGAACCCACCAAAUUACCCAAAUAUUUUCUUAACAUAAAUACUAGACAUACAUGUACGUACAGAUAGUAGUCGAAGAAGUAUAGAGGGAAGUUCCUUUCAACAGAUUUGGAGAUAGGUCUCUGUUCUUGAGGUGGGAUAAUAGAUGUGAAUGAAUUUUAUGGGACCAGCACGGCAGCAAGAUGGGGAAGGAUGUUUCGCAGAAACAUCAUCUAACGUGCAAUUUUCAAUUUUAAUUUUUAAUUUCGAUUGAUCAAGAAUAAGUAUUAAUUGUUUAAUUUAAAAUAGGAAAAAUUGCAGCAAAGGUACCUAAUCUUUUAUUUUUUGCAGACUUUACCCUAACCUUCUUUCUAUACCAACGAAAGUCCAUAACCUUUCAUAAAUAUGCACCCAAGAUCCAUAUGGACGAAAACCAUCUAAAACACAAUAAAUUGAUUGGAAAAACUAAGGAAUCAGCGUUCAAUAAAAUCGUCCAAAACGCCGCAAAAAAUACCGUUCAAAAAAAUAUCAACAUCCAAUAAAAUUAUCGCGAUAGCAGAUAGUUCAAUGAAUUUUACCGAUCAACUGACGGUGUCUUGGAGAUGGACCUCAAGUGCAUAUUUAUGAAAGAUUAGAGACAUUUGUUGAUAUAAAAUAAAAUUUAAGGUAAAGUCUACAAAAAAUAAAAAAAGAUAGGACCUAUGAUGCAAUUUUCCCUUUAAAAUAUUUGAAGAUAGUGGAGAUUAGACGAGAAAAAUAAGUGGGCCUAUGGUAUGGGGAUACUUGGGUUGCCAGAUUGUGAUUGAUGGUAAUUUUUUACCUUUUCUCUAAUCUGUUCAAAAAGUAUCAACAAAUUAUAAGGUUAUUUGAAGCCCCGUUUGAUUCUCAUUUUUAUCAAAAUGUAUAUUUUUCUUUUUUUUAAUUAUACAUUUUUUACUAAAAUAAUAUUAUACAUAAAUAAAAAACUUUUUUUUAUUUUUAAUCCAUAUAUUUUUCAUCAAUCUAUUAUUCUAAAAUUCAUUUUUUCAAUAAAAUAGGUGUCAAACACAUCUCUCUUCGUGAUGCAUUAAUUUUUUUCUUAGCAAAUUUGAAUAAGCGGUUUUAAAAUCAUGAUCCAAACUUAAUUCCCACUUGAUAAAAUUUAUUUGGGAAGAAUGGGUUAUUGCAUAGUAAUUUUUUGAAGAAUGCAUGAUUAAAAAAUGAGAAAAUUUUAUUUUAUUAUGUGAAUGUGUAGUGAAAAAUGAUCCAGUAGUAAAUAAUUUAAUUUUUUAAAGGAUGACAAAUAUGACUUUAGUAAGACGUAUGUGAUACACAAAAUGAAUCUUCAAUUGUGUUGAUUCUUGUUCCAAACUUAAUUAUAUGAUGCACAAGAUGAAUCCCAAUUUUAAUUUAACGUAGGUAUGAUACCCAGAGAUCAAGAUGACUAAAAAAUAUUUGUGAUUAGCUCUCGAAUAAGUUGUAGUCGUGUAAGGGGAGAUUCUUGAUAUGGUAGAUUAGCUAAGUUUUGAAGAAGCGUAUGAUAUUCCUUAACUUUAGAAAGUUAAUGGAUAGAUAAUCAUUUAAGUGGGCAAAAAUGACAUGUUAAUUCAUUCGAGAGCGAUCAUGAUUGGACAAAAGCAAAAAAUGGUGACAAAAAUUCAAUAUGUUUACAUAUCUCAAAUUAGUCAUUAAAUUUCAAUUUGUUUCUAAUUUGUCACUAAACUUUCAAAAAUGUUAGCAAUCAAUCCUUUUGUUAGUAAACAUUAGUGAGAUUAUCACAUAAACUUGUGUCGAAUGAGAUGGCUUAUCCAACACUUAACAGAAGGAUCAUUGGACGAAGUUUAUGACUAAUUACAAAGUGAGGUUCAGUUAGCAAUUUGAAAGUACGUCAACGAGACAUAAAAAUGACGUUAGAUAUCCUUCUAAAUAGAAUAUGGAUUAAAUAUGCCAAUUUUCCUUGUUUCAUAAAAUAGCAGUCAAUUAUUAUUUUAAUUUGCAUUUUAAAAUUAAAAAAAAAAAAAUUAAUAUGGUCCAUACCUACCCUCGAGUGGGAGUUUCUAUAAAAUAAUGUUUUGAUGCAACAUGUCACGUGUACAUAGCUCAUGGUUUUGAAAUGUUAAAUUUAUAUAUUUUAUUUUCUUCUUGAAAAACACAAAGUUUUGUGAUUGUGUCUCACGCUCUUUUUCCUUUUAAAUUUCAUUUUCUUUUCAAAAACGUUUUAUAUUUAUUAUUUAUAUUUAUAUUUGAAGCAUAUAUUCGUUCCUUAUACAUCACAAGUGUUAUUGUGGAACUCGCAAGCGUAUGAAAUCGUCAACUAAAAAUAAUAUAGUGAUAAAAAAAUAUCGUCCCGCAAGAAAUGCAUUGGUGGAGCUUCUAAGUAGUUAAUUGAAGAUGGAGACAAAUCAAGGCUUUUGUACCAAGGGAAUGAGGGCUGUGCUGCAAAGAUCUCCAAUCUGAACCUCCUCAUCCACUCUCCCCUCUCUCUUCUCUAGGUACUAUUACAUGGGCAUAGGCUAAUAAAACCUAGGAAAACCUCAUAAUUGUUCAAUAUAAUGAUCCAAAGACUACCUUACCAGUCUAAUGCAUAUUUUAACAACAUUUUUACGUCUACAAAUAGUAGAGCAGAAAUAUGACAAAGGCGUAGCUCAAACUCAUGUCUUAAUUUAUUAAAGAAAAACUUGCUGUCAUUAUUACUUUUAUCGAUAUUGCAUAAGUAACACGGGUAAAAAAUCAUUAGGUCAGCUACAAAGUUAUAUGAUAUUUCAUUAAGGUUAGCAAAAGAGUUUAUGCUUUAAUGCAUUGUGACAGUACUAGUCUUUUUUUGUCUCAUCGUUCAUCCUUUUUUUUUUUUGGCGGGCGGAAGUUUGGGAGAGAAUGUAGUAUAUAACCUGUAUGGCAUCAACUAGAUACCCAGACAAAACUGAUAUGGACAGUGUCAGCAUAGCAAGCCACCCAAUUGCUUCCCACUGGGUAAUCUCAGGGGCCUCAUCUUCUACAGAAUCUUCUUCAUUAUUCUCCCUCGGCUGUGACAAAUGCCAUAGAAAUUUAACCAGGUCAAUGAAAUCCAUAGUCUAAAUAAAUCUUUUGCAAAUGCAUGCGUUGUUUUUUAAGCCAGUCAAGUUCCAAUUUCAUAAAAUCUUCAAAAGAUAAAUUGAAAAGCAUGCAUGAUAUCUUAUGCAAUACUUAUGUUACAAGAUCUCUGGUACACUAUCAGUUUUAACAAAGAAUAAAAAUGAGAUACGUACCUCAUCAACAGAACUAUAAAGAUUUGUUUGACUCUUGAGCUGAAAGAAAAGAUAGCUUGCAUAUGCAAUCAGCAUUAUGCAGCUGCUAAAUCGUGAAAGAGCUAGCUCUGACUUGCCUUUAUGCACUUCUGUAUGAGUAAAGUGCAGAACUGCUGGAAAUAAUAAACCCAUGACGGCCAUUAAUAGCAAUCCUGAGUUCACCAGAGCAGCUGCCUGAAACAAUUUGACACAUAUUAGCAUUUCUGUACUCAGGCUAGGGGGAGAAAAAUGACAGACACAGUGGAUUCCUGCUUCCAUGGACAAAGAAAGAGCUCACUCCAUCAAAAUUUCAAUCAUAAAUAUAUUAGUCAGAAUAGCACCACCUUAUUAAAAUUCUGUACUUUAUGUUUAUGAACCACCCCACCACAGAAGAAGGCACAUCCAAGCACCAACAGCAUAUUGGACAAGAUGGAACCCAGUAAUGACUGCUGAACGACCCUCAUCAUACCAUUCUUCAACGCAUAUAUCGAAAUUAUCAUCUCCGUAGCGUUGCCAAAGGUUGCGUUUAGAAGGCCUCCAACUGCAGUUUCAACAAAAAAAUUAUUGAUGAUGAAGUGAAAUCUACUCGUUUAAUUAUAUAAUAAUCUGUUUGUAAUUCACCGAGAGAUGAAAUUGCUUGUUGAUCAAAAGAAUGUAUAAUCAUGCUUCUGGAAUUUUAUUUUUUUUGAGCAAAUAAUAGAACAAUAAGGAAAAAAUAUUGAGACAUGUCUGUAAUGAACGAGCUGACACAAGUUGAUUUCUAGCAUACAUCAAAUAUUAAUGUUUCCAACUCUUGCUGAAAUGAUAUUUCCAAGUCAAACUGCAUUCAAUUUGGCAAAUAAGAGAUGACCACAGCCCCAUUAAGCAAUGUAAAUAAUCUAGCAUAACUAACAAGACAAUCUCCCGAAAUCCAAUUUAACUCCUUCAAAAUGAAUCAUUGGUAUCUCUUAGAAUGAUAUCUCAGCAGACUUUUGACAAUCUCAUUUUUUUCAUCUGCUCCAUGUCAAGUGGGUCAAAUUGAUUCAAAAGACAGGUGACAAUCUACCCUUAUCUGUUUCCUUGCUAGUAAAAUUUGUUCUUUAGUGAACUUCACAUAAUUUGCCAUCGUAGGAUAUAAUUAAUCAGUAACAACUAUACAAUAAUCAGUAGUUCCUUCAAGAGUUUCGGGAUGUCUUCCUGGAGGACCUACCUGACCAGUUACCUCCUCUACGGGACAUUUAACAUUCCAUAGGUUUCGUCCCAAGAGAGUCCCUUUCAAAUUUGCCUCAUUAUAUGAUGAAUUCUACCAAGCAGACUGAACUCUAGAGGCUAGUAGAUGAACUCCUUCACAAAGGGUUUAUCCAAGAGAGUUUAAACCCUUUUAUAGUCUCUGUCCUAUUGACUCCUAAGAAGGAUGGUUCUUGGAAAAUGUGUGUGGAUAGUCGCCAUCAAUAGGGUCACGGUGAAGUAUCGCUUUCUCAUUCCUAGACUUGAUGAUAUGUUAGGUAUGAUGAUUGGUGCUACAAUAUUUUCUAAGAUUAUUUGAAGAGUGGAUACCAUCAGAUUAAGAUACAUCCAGGUGAUGAGUGGAAGACCGCUUUUAAAAUGAAGAUGGUCUUUAUGAAUGAUUGGUCACGUCUUUUGGAUUAAGCAACGCUCCGAGUACCUUUAUGCGGGCAAUGACACAAACUCUUCGACCUUUCAUAGGUAAGUCUCUUGUUCUCUACUUUGUUGACAUUCUUAUCUAUAGUAAGACUAAAGAACAACACCCAGCCCAUCUCACACAAGUUUGUUUUAACCUUCGUUCAAUAAAAUUGUAUGCUAACGUCAAGAAGUGCUCUUACUUCACUGAUAGAGUCAUUUUCCUAGAAUUCAUUGUAUUUUCGAUAGGGAUAUCUACCGACCCUGCAAAAAUUUAGGCGAUUGUUGACUGGUCUGAACCUAAGACUAUUCAUGACGUUAGGAGCUUUCACGGCUUAGCUACAUUUUACCGUCACUUUAUCAAGGAGUUUAGUACCAUCAUGACGCCUAUUACAAAGUGCAUAAAGAAAGGGAAGUUUCAGUGGACACAAAAGGCGGCUAAGGCUCUUAAGUUAGUCAAGAAGGGAAUGAUUGAAGCUCCUAUCAUGCAUCUUCUAGAUUUUUCUAAAGUCUUUGAGGUAGAGUGUGAUACCUCUGGGGUAGGAAUAGGUGAAGUCUUGAGUUGGGAUCGUCACCCUGUUACCUAUUUCAGUGAUAAGAUGCCAAACAGCGCUACUCCACUUACGAUAAGGAAUUAUACGCGGUUGUCCAAGCUUUGCGCUAUUGGCGUCAUUAUUUGCUACCCCAAGAGUUUGUUCUCUAUUCGGACCAUGAAGCCCUCCAUCACCUUAACUCCCAGAAAAGGCUAAACUCCAUGCAUGGUCGCUAUAUUGAAUAUUUGCAGGCCUAUUCUUUUGUCUUGAAACAUAAGUAGGGCGUGGAGAACAAAGCGGCUGAUGCUUUAAGUCGUCGUGUCUCUCUUUUUCGAUCAUGAACAUCAUCGUCGUGUCUCCCUUUUUCGAUCAUGAACAUCAAGGUUUUGAAAGACUUGAGGAGGAUUAUGAAACGUGUCCUAAUUUUAGGGAUAUCUUUCUUGUGCAAGAUGAAUGAUGUGACACUAUAAAUGGUUUUCUUCUUGAGAAGGGUUACCUUUAUAGAGCCAAUAAAUUGUGCAUCCCUCAAAUUUCAGCGUGGGAUUUCAUAGUGUGGAAGAUUCAUGCGGGAGGCUUAACUAGUCACUUUGGGCAUGAUAAGACCAUAGAAGAGGUUGAAUGCCAAUUCUAUUAGCCUAGUUUGAAGAAAGAUAUUACUAAGAUUGUUAAUACAUGUAACACUUGUCAAUUGGCUAAACAAAAGAGGCAAAACACGAGUCUAUACACACCUUUUCCCAUCCCUAAUUGUCAUUGGCAAGAUGUUAGAAUAGAUUUUGUGUUAGGACUUACACACACCCCAAAGAAACAUGAUACUAUCUUUGUGGUCAUUGAUCAUUUCUCGAAAAUGACCCAUUUUAUCCCUUGUAGGAAGACUUCAGAUGCGUUCAAUGUUGCUAAGUUGUACUUUAAUGAAAUUGUCAAGUUGUAUGGGCUUCCUAAAAUAAUUGUGUCAAAUAGAAAUGUUCGUUUCACUAAACAUUUUUGGAGAACCUAGAGGCCAAAGGUUGGUACCAAAUUGAAAUUUUCUACAGCCAACACUCUCAAACUGACGAUCAAAUAGACGUGGUUAACCGUAGUCUUAGUAAUUUGCUAUGAUGUCUAGUCAGAAAAAAUCUUAAAAAUUAGGAUUUGAUUCUUCGUACAGCGCAAAUUGCAUAUAACAGCUUCAUGAAUUGGUCAUUAGAUAUGAGUCCAUUUGAAGUUGUUCAUGGUGAUAAGCCUAGGAAGCCUUUAAAUCUCAUUCCAAUGUACCCGCAUGCUAGAGUGUUUGAGUCAGACGAGACAUUUGCACAACACCUUCAUGAUUUGUAUAUUGAGAUCAAUAAACAACUUGAAGCAAGUUAUGCAUCAUAUAAACUCUGAGCUGAUUUGCAUAAAAGACAUGUUGAGUUUAACAUUAGGGAUUACGUUAUGUUCCAAAUUAGGCCAGAGCGGCAUCUACCUGGACCUACCUCCAAAUUGCAAGCCCGUAGUGCUGGUUCUUCUAAAAUUUUAAAACAAGUGGAUCCAAAUGCAUAUAUUGUUGACAUCCCACCACACCUUGGAUACCACUCUACUUUCAAUGUUGAAGACUUAAUUGCUUACAAAGGUCAUUUUAAUCUCUUCGAUGAUCCUCUUUUACCUCCUUCUGUGGACCUUGAUCUUGAUUCUUUUGCCACUUCUAACCCAAUACCACCUCUCAUAGUACACAAAGAUAAAAUUGAUACUAUUUUAAAUAAAAAGACUGUGUUAACUAACGAUGGAGCGGUUCAACGCUUUCUUGUUCAUUGGGUUGAUUGACAAGAUUCUGACGGUAUAUGGAUCUCCAGAGAAAAACUACAGCAAUUGGACCCAAAUUUAUUGGAGCUUUAAUGAAGUCAGCAAGAUCUUCCUCGACCAAGAUCGCCUCACAUCCACUCAGGGGAAGAUAGUGAGGACACUAGAUUCAGACCUCCAUUGACACAUUUCUACGGACAUAAAAAAAAAUUGCCCAACCACUCAGCUUAUGGUUGGGAGAUUGACUACAGCUUCUCAUGAUCUAUCUAUGCGACAUUGUCGAGUUUUUUCUCCCACCCCAUGAGAGUUGAUUAGGACAUCCGUGUUACUUAUUUUCUAGUUGGACUUUAUUUAUUUAGGUUUUAAAUUUUUAUUAGGCUUGUAUAAAAGGUUUGGCCCAAACCCGAUCUCUUUAGGGUUUUGUUUCGCUAUUUAAGUUUAGUUGUCAUGGAAUUAAAACAGUUGAUGAAUGAAUAAAAUUAUUUUGGUGGCUUGUGGCAAUUUUCUACCUUUUCUCCAUCUUUCUUCUAUUGGUUCUUCUGUUGAUUCUUCUUUUACCCCCGUUCUUCCCUUAAUUUUCUCUUCUCCAUAGAUCUGUUCUUGUUUUUAAUUAAGUGUUCCAAUUGGUGCUGCAUCAGGUAUAAGUAUAAAACUUGAAAUGCAUCUCUAAAUUCGCAUCUACUGGGAUUUCUACACAAAUCCUUUGAACAAUAAGGUUUUCCGAAUAACCUCCAAGUUUCUCUUCAUGAGGGACUCCCCUUUAUAUGAACAAGGGACACAAAAAACUUUGAUACUAACUGAGUCCUGGAUCCAACGGUGCGACUUCAUGCACCAGUCAAGUAGAAUCCUCAUCAGAACCCUCAUCCAAGCACCACAAAUUGAAACAGAAUCAUUUCCUCUCUGAAUCUAUUGCCAAAAUCAAGUGGUUAACGGAUUUAUAAGAGACAAAUACAAUGCAGCUUUUGUUACAAAAGUUCUUUGAAAGUAUAACUUGUUACAUCCACCUGAAGCUUUUUUCCACCAGUUCUGUUAUGGACCAUUUCAAGUUGCCAGAGCAGCAAUUAAUAUACUUGGUUGACAUACCAAUACCAUCCUUCAAAAAUACCCUCUGAAAUCAACACUUAUGCGAACUCCUCAUGUGAUAAAACUUUCAAGCCUUAAUGAAUAUAUUAUGAUUUCCUCAAUCCUACCUCCACCAACAAUAAUGACAAUAUAAUUAGGUUGACUUAGCUUUGAAAGAAUUCCACGAUGUGAAUUCUAUGCCUGUAAUCUUCACCAUUAAAAUAUUUUUCAAAUUUUCAUACAACCUUCAUCUUUCUUUCUCCAGAUAAGUAAUAAAUUUUCCAACUGGUUGUCAUAAGCCCUGCUGUAGUUGGAGGAAAAAGGUUGACGCAUCCUCGCACCUUUUAGUUGAAUAUUCCCAAAAUACAAUUGGAAAGGAACCCUCCCAAAUGCAUUUCAGUCUAAAGUUUUGAAAAUCUAUUGGGUGGAAGUUAAUUGAGACAUUUAUGUAUAUUUAAAACAUUAGUUCCUUCAAGCAUCAUUUCCCUCAUGAUAGUAUAGCAACAUAAAAAACAGUUCACGGUCUAGCUAGGAGACUUUGAGAAUGACUACUUUGAAGGUAAAUUAACUAAGA